CGGAUACCUUGUGCUACAG
RNAcentral lists this non-coding RNA (19 nucleotides) under Arabidopsis thaliana (thale cress). Lineage: Eukaryota; Viridiplantae; Streptophyta; Magnoliopsida; Brassicales; Brassicaceae. The record is from RNAcentral.